CGAAGGUCCCAAGCGUUAUCCGGAUUUAUGGGCGUAAAGCGCUCGCAGGUGGUUCGAUGCGUCGUGCGUGAAAGCCCCCGGCUCAACUGGGGAGUGUCGUGCGAUACGGUCGGACUGGAGGCCAGUAGGGGGAUGCGGAAUUCCGGGUGUAGUGGUGGAAUGCGUAGAGAUCCGGAGGAACACCAGCGGCGAAGGCGGCAUCCUGGACUGGUCCUGACACUCAUGAGCGAAAGCGUGGGGAGCGAUCCGGAUUAGAUACCCGGGUAGUCCACGCCGUAAACGAUGCGCACUAGGUGUCGGGGGUAUCGACCCCCUCGGUGCCGCAGCUAACGCGAUAAGUGCGCCGCCUGGGGACUACGGCCGCAAGGCUA
RNAcentral lists this ribosomal RNA (371 nucleotides) under uncultured organism. RNAcentral's name for it is "bacterial SSU rRNA". It matches the Rfam family "Bacterial small subunit ribosomal RNA", at positions 526 to 896 of the family's 1533-position model. The record is from RNAcentral.